AAACAUAACAUAGAGGGUCCUGCCUGCCCAGUGACAGAAAGUUAAACGGCCGCGGUAUCUUGACCGUGCGAAGGUAGCAUAAUCACUUGUCUCCUAAAUAGAGACUGGUAUGAAUGGCAAGACGGAACUUAACUGUCUCCUUUUCUCCUAUCCUAAUUUCACUUUCCCGUGAAGAGGCGGGAAAAUAUUCGCUAGACGAGAAGACCCUGUCGAGCUUAAGCAAAAUGCUAAUUUCUAACUCCUCUUAAUUAUAUUCUAAUUUUUUCUGCUAAACGUAACUAAGAGAAAAUUAUUAGUACAAGCUUUGGUUGGGGCAACCACGGAGAAGAAAAAUCCUCCGCUUACAAUAGAUAAAAAUAAGACCCUACAAGUCUAAUAUUGUAUAAACAAGUCAAAUGAUCCACCACGGUGAUCAAAGGAAAAAGUUACCGCAGGGAUAACAGCGUUAUCUUUUCUGAGAGUUCACAUUGACGAAAAGGUUUGCGACCUCGAUGUUGGAUCGGGACAUCCUAAGGGUGCAGAAGCUUUUAAGGGUUGGUCUGUUCGACCAUUAAAGUCCU
This 560-nucleotide ribosomal RNA is filed under the name Mellita sp. 2 Brazil, Trinidad. RNAcentral describes it as "partial 16S ribosomal RNA". It matches the Rfam family "Bacterial large subunit ribosomal RNA", at positions 1834 to 2597 of the family's 2925-position model. Lineage: Eukaryota; Metazoa; Echinodermata; Echinoidea; Clypeasteroida; Mellitidae. The record is from RNAcentral.